This 1445-nucleotide ribosomal RNA is filed under the name uncultured marine bacterium. RNAcentral describes it as "16S ribosomal RNA". It matches the Rfam family "Bacterial small subunit ribosomal RNA". The record is from RNAcentral.
ACGCUGGCGGCACGCCUAACACAUGCAAGUCGAACGAAGUAGCAAUACUUAGUGGCAGACGGGUGAGUAACAUGUAGGUAUCUGCCCUUUGGCCUGGAAUAACACGAGGAAACUUGUGCUAAUACCGGAUAAGUCUUUACGGAGAAAGCUUUAUGCACCAUUGGAUGAGCCUGCACUUGAUUAGUUUGUUGGUGGGGUAAUGGCCUACCAAGACUGUGAUCAAUAGCUGAUUUGAGAGGAUGAUCAGCCACAUUGGGACUGAGACACGGCCCAAACUCCUACGGGAGGCAGCAGUGGGGAAUCUUGCACAAUGGAGGAAACUCUGAUGCAGCGAUGCCGCGUGAGUGAAGAAGGCCCUUGGGUUGUAAAGCUCUUUCGUCGGGGAAGAAAAUGACUGUACCCGAAUAAGAAGGUCCGGCUAACUUCGUGCCAGCAGCCGCGGUAAUACGAAGGGACCUAGCGUAGUUCGGAAUUACUGGGCUUAAAGAGUUCGUAGGUGGUUGAAAUAGUUAGUGGUGAAAUCCCAGAGCUUAACUCUGGAACUGCCAUUAAAACUUUUCAGCUAGAGUAUGAUAGAGGAAAGCAGAAUUUCUAGUGUAGAGGUGAAAUUCGUAGAUAUUAGAAAGAAUACCAAUUGCGAAGGCAGCUUUCUGGAUCAUUACUGACACUGAGGAACGAAAGCAUGGGUAGCGAAGAGGAUUAGAUACCCUCGUAGUCCAUGCCGUAAACGAUGUGUGUUAGACGUUGGAAAUUUAUUUUCAGUGUCGCAGGGAAACCGAUAAACACACCGCCUGGGGAGUACGACCGCAAGGUUAAAACUCAAAUGAAUUGACGGGGACCCGCACAAGUAGUGGAGCAUGUGGUUUAAUUCGAAGAUACGCGCAGAACCUUACCAACACUUGACAUGUUCGUCGCGACUCUAAGAGAUUAGAGUUUUCGGUUCGGCCGGACGAAACACAGGUGCUGCAUGGCUGUCGUCAGCUCGUGUCGUGAGAUGUUGGGUUAAGUCCCGCAACGAGCGCAACCCUCACUUUUAGUUGCCAUCAUUAAGUUGGGCACUCUGAAAGAACCGCCAGUGAUAAGCUGGAGGAAGGUGGGGAUUACGUCAAGUCCUCAUGGCCCUUACGUGUUGGGCUACACACGUGCUACAAUGGUAUCUACAACAGGAAGCAAGACUGCGAAGUUAAGCAAAUCCCUAAAAGAUACCUCAGUUCGGAUUGCACUCUGCAACUCGAGUGCAUGAAGCCGGAAUUACUAGUAAUCGUGGAUCAGCGUGCCACGGUGAAUGCGUUCCCGGGUCUUGUACACACCGCCCGUCACACCAUGGGAGUUGGUUCUACCUUAAGGCAAGGUUUCAAACCCUUGACCACGGUAUAGUCAGCGACUGGGGUGAAGUCGUAACAAGGUAGCCGUAGGGGAACCUGCGGCUGGAUUACCUCCUUUCU